Molecule: ribosomal RNA, 429 nt
Filed under: bacterium
Lineage: Bacteria
Description: partial 16S ribosomal RNA
Rfam family: Bacterial small subunit ribosomal RNA
Source: RNAcentral
UAGGGAAUCUUCCACAAUGGACGCAAGUCUGAUGGAGCAACGCCGCGUGAGUGAAGAAGGUUUUCGGAUCGUAAAGCUCUGUUGUUGGUGAAGAAGGAUAGAGGCAGUAACUGGUCUUUAUUUGACGGUAAUCAACCAGAAAGUCACGGCUAACUACGUGCCAGCAGCCGCGGUAAUACGUAGGUGGCAAGCGUUGUCCGGAUUUAUUGGGCGUAAAGCGAGCGCAGGCGGAAUGAUAAGUCUGAUGUGAAAGCCCACGGCUCAACCGUGGAACUGCAUCUGAAACUGUCAUUGUUGAGUGCAGAAGAGGAGAGUGGAAUUCCAUGUGUAGCGGUGGAAUGCGUAGAUAUAUGGGAGAACACCAGUGGCGAAGGCGGCUCUCUGGUCUGCAACUGACGCUGAGGCUCGAAAGCAUGGGUAGCGAACAGG